AGCAGCCGCGGUAAUUCCAGCUCCAAUAGCGUAUAUUAAAGUUGUUGCAGUUAAAAAGCUCGUAGUUGAAUUUCGGGGUUAGUAGGCUGGUCGUGCCACAGGUAUGUACUGGUCUUACUGAUUCCUUCUUCCUGAUGAACCGUAAUGCCAUUAAUUUGGUGUUGCGGGGAAACUGGACUGUUACUUUGAAAAAUUAGAGUGUUUAAAGCAGGCUAACGCUUGAAUACAUUAGCAUGGAAUAAUGAAAUAGGACGUUCGAUCCUAUUUUGUUGGUUUCUAGGAUUGACGUAAUGAUUAAUAGGGAUAGUUGGGGGCAUUAGUAUUCAAUUGUCAGAGGUGAAAUUCUUGGAUUUAUUGAAGACUAACUACUGCGAAAGCAUUUGCCAAGGAUGUUUUCAUUAAUCAAGAACGAAAGUUAGGGGAUCGAAGACGAUCAGAUACCGUCGUAGU
This 450-nucleotide ribosomal RNA is filed under the name uncultured Glomeromycotina. RNAcentral describes it as "SSU rRNA". It matches the Rfam family "Eukaryotic small subunit ribosomal RNA", at positions 569 to 1024 of the family's 1831-position model. The record is from RNAcentral. Lineage: Eukaryota; Fungi; Glomeromycota.